This 498-nucleotide ribosomal RNA is filed under the name uncultured bacterium. RNAcentral's name for it is "partial 16S ribosomal RNA". It matches the Rfam family "Bacterial small subunit ribosomal RNA", at positions 30 to 523 of the family's 1533-position model. The record is from RNAcentral.
AUUGAACGCUGGCGGCAUGCUUUACACAUGCAAGUCGAACGGUAACAGGCCGCAAGGUGCUGACGAGUGGCGAACGGGUGAGUAAUGCAUCGGAACGUGCCCAGUCGUGGGGGAUAACUAUCCGAAAGGAUAGCUAAUACCGCAUACGAUCUGCGGAUGAAAGCGGGGGACCUUCGGGCCUCGCGCGAUUGGAGCGGCCGAUGUCAGAUUAGGUAGUUGGUGGGGUAAAGGCUCACCAAGCCAACGAUCUGUAGCUGGUCUGAGAGGACGACCAGCCACACUGGGACUGAGACACGGCCCAGACUCCUACGGGAGGCAGCAGUGGGGAAUUUUGGACAAUGGGCGCAAGCCUGAUCCAGCAAUGCCGCGUGCAGGAAGAAGGCCUUCGGGUUGUAAACUGCUUUUGUACGGAACGAAACGGCUCUGGUUAAUAAAGAGGGGUCAUGACGGUACCGUAAGAAUAAGCACCGGCUAACUACGUGCCAGCCGCCGCGGUAA